Armigeres subalbatus is the source of this 1255-nucleotide long non-coding RNA. RefSeq lists it as uncharacterized. NCBI's taxonomy places the organism in Eukaryota, Metazoa, Arthropoda, Insecta, Diptera, Culicidae. The transcript is spliced from 4 exons. The record is from RefSeq and is a predicted model, not a curated record.
UCAACUUUCGCUCGUUGGGCUAAACUCGUAGCCCAUCUAGUGAAAGACUUUCGUUGGUUGGGCUGAGAUUUCAUCUGUAAAAUCAGCGAUUACAAUAGAAAUUCAGAGCUGCCAACUGCGAAAAAGAAAAAAAAACUGCCGUUGAUGUCGUAAUUUGACGUCCACCUUCGUUUUAAGUGGGCUGCAGCCCAACUAACGGGCGCCCAACUAAAUCGUAGCCCAUCUAAAGAUAGCCCAACGAGUGAAAUUUGACUGUAUUAUGGGUGAAAUGUACGGAGUUUAUCAGUUAAUUUCACUCAUAUUGUUGAUAAAGUGGUUUUACCAAUAUAUGGGUAAAAAUAUUUACCCAUAUUUGGGUGAAAAAAAAUUAGUGUUCGCGUUUUUGUUUUCAUAAAACUAAAUAAAAUAUGCAAAAUAAAUAACAUGUCCAGAAUGAGUUUAUUUCGUUCGUCUGGCUGAACCGGCUGAACAUUAUGACGGUACUGAGGAUGAGAAGUCACAAGAGGCUCGGACCAAGCUGUACCUCCCGGGAACCAAUUGAGUAUCUGGAGUAUCUGCAACUGCACCCGUUGCAUAAACAGCCGCGGAAACGGACACCUUCGACAACAUCGCAAAUAAAUCCUGCCGGAUCUCCCGCUCCGACAAUGAGACACCUGCCUAGAUGCAUUCCAAACCUUUUGCGGUCUACUCUAUAGCUGAUCAUAAACGAUACAUCCUGCAUCACCAUGGUCAUCAUCUGCAGAAGGAAUACGGGAAGAAGGUGGGCCAUUUUUUUGUUGUUCCAAGCCAGCGUGCAGUGGGGAUAUAGCGCGCAGUCGGAACCGCAGAUAUAACUUUGUCGGUGAUAUAAUCGCAGCCGAUGUGCUCCUCAGUGAAGUCGUGCAGUGGACAACUCACAGUGCCACCAUCUAACAGACCUUUAGCCCUCGUGCCUUCAACAUAGUGGAAUGCGAAUAUUAGCCUAUAACCUUCGAAUCAGUAUCGUUGUACCGAUACCCUCCAAUCAGUAUUCAACCCCCGGACACACCAAGUAUCGUUGAGGAACUACCGACACCCGAGAUUAAACACGUUAUCCAUGUACAAGCAGCAAACCUGAGUUUCCGGAAGCACUCCAACCACGGUGUAUUUUCCGGCUCCUGCUGUUAUAUGAGCGACCUUAUGUUGGUGCAGACUCUCAGGCGCAGACCAUCUAUUAUUGUAUUAUAUUUAUUUUGUUUUAAAUUAUUAUAUUAUAAUAAAAUGACAGAUAUUAUGA